GACACACUUUUGACAGGACUUCAACUUUCACGACUUUAACAAUGAUCAGAUCUGUUUAUUUAGUUAUUUUACACAUACUAUUUUGUUUCUUGGCUGGUUCUGAAGGUCAAACACUGAGUCUGAACCAGUGGUUAAAAGGCCUGGAGACUCCCACAGACUGACCUGUACAUACUCAGGAUUUGGUGGCGAUAUUGUUGCAGCUUGGGUCAGACAGGCUGCUGGAAAAGGACUGGAAUGGAUCGCUUUGAUCUACAGUGGUGGUAGUGUAAUGUAGACACUAAAGCUGUUACGCCAGAAUGUCUUCCUAAGGAGGAUGGUUCUUUAGAUACAAGGGAGCAAGUGAGUCAGAAACUCAGGCCAGGGAGCACAAAU
This is a long non-coding RNA of Oreochromis niloticus (Nile tilapia), 372 nucleotides long. RefSeq lists it as uncharacterized. The record is from RefSeq and is a predicted model, not a curated record. NCBI's taxonomy places the organism in Eukaryota, Metazoa, Chordata, Actinopteri, Cichliformes, Cichlidae. The transcript is spliced from 2 exons.